RNAcentral lists this ribosomal RNA (253 nucleotides) under uncultured bacterium. Its description in RNAcentral is "partial 16S ribosomal RNA". It matches the Rfam family "Bacterial small subunit ribosomal RNA", at positions 524 to 776 of the family's 1533-position model. The record is from RNAcentral.
UACAGAGGGUGCAAGCGUUAAUCGGAAUGGCUGGGCGUAAAGGGCGUGUAGGCGGUUGAAUAAGUUGGUUGUGAAAUCCCUGGGCUUAACCUAGGAAUGGCAACCAAGACUGUGUAACUAGAGUACUGUAGAGGGUAGUGGAAUUCCACAAGUAGCGGUGAAAUGCGUAGAUAUGUGGAAGAACACCAGUGGCGAAGGCGGUUUUCUAGUUUAUACCUGACGCUGAUGCGCGAAAGCAAGGGGAGCAAACAGG